UGGGGAAUCUUGGACAAUGGGGGCAACCCUGAUCCAGCCAUGCCGCGUGAGUGAUGAAGGCCUUAGGGUCGUAAAGCUCUUUCGCCUGUGAAGAUAAUGACGGUAGCAGGUAAAGAAACCCCGGCUAACUCCGUGCCAGCAGCCGCGGUAAUACGGAGGGGGUUAGCGUUGUUCGGAAUUACUGGGCGUAAAGCGCACGUAGGCGGACCAGAAAGUUGGGGGUGAAAUCCCGGGGGCUCAACCCCGGAACUGCCUCCAAAACUAUUGGUCUAGAGUUCGAGAGAGGUGAGUGGAAUUCCAAGUGUAGAGGUGAAAUUCGUAGAUAUUUGGAGGAACACCAGUGGCGAAGGCGGCUCACUGGCUCGAUACUGACGCUGAGGUGCGAAAGUGUGGGGAGCAAACAGGAUUAGAUACCCUGGUAGUCCACACCGUAAACGAUGAAUGCCAGUCGUCGGGUAGCAUGCUAUUCGGUGACACACCUAACGGAUUAAGC
RNAcentral lists this ribosomal RNA (493 nucleotides) under uncultured bacterium. RNAcentral describes it as "bacterial SSU rRNA". It matches the Rfam family "Bacterial small subunit ribosomal RNA", at positions 355 to 865 of the family's 1533-position model. The record is from RNAcentral.